AUUGAACGCUGGCGGCAGGCCUAACACAUGCAAGUCGAACGGUAACAGGAAGCAGCUUGCUGCUUUGCUGACGAGUGGCGGACGGGUGAGUAAUGUCUGGGAAACUGCCCGAUGGAGGGGGAUAACUACUGGAAACGGUAGCUAAUACCGCAUAACGUCGCAAGACCAAAGAGGGGGACCUUAGGGCCUCAUGCCAUCGGAUGUGCCCAGAUGGGAUUAGCUAGUAGGUGGGGUAACGGCUCACCUAGGCGACGAUCCCUAGCUGGUCUGAGAGGAUGACCAGCCACACUGGAACUGAGACACGGUCCAGACUCCUACGGGAGGCAGCAGUGGGGAAUAUUGCACAAUGGGCGCAAGCCUGAUGCAGCCAUGCCGCGUGUAUGAAGAAGGCCUUCGGGUUGUAAAGUACUUUCAGCGGGGAGGAAGGGAGUAAAGUUAAUACCUUUGCUCAUUGACGUUACCCGCAGAAGAAGCACCGGCUAACUCCGUG
RNAcentral lists this ribosomal RNA (490 nucleotides) under uncultured bacterium. Its description in RNAcentral is "partial 16S ribosomal RNA". It matches the Rfam family "Bacterial small subunit ribosomal RNA", at positions 30 to 507 of the family's 1533-position model. The record is from RNAcentral.